Long non-coding RNA from Pseudopipra pipra, 3832 nucleotides. RefSeq lists it as uncharacterized. The transcript is spliced from 2 exons. The record is from RefSeq and is a predicted model, not a curated record. NCBI's taxonomy places the organism in Eukaryota, Metazoa, Chordata, Aves, Passeriformes, Pipridae.
GCUGAUUGCCAGGACCCCCGUGGGGCUGGGAUCAUGGCAGGGGGUUGUAAGCAAGGAAUGCCUGGCUUCUUAAAGUCACCAGCUGAGUCUUAGAGGCUUCUUUGAAGAGCUGAGUCCAGGCAGCAAAAUUGCCCCCCGCAGGAGGGACUCUGUGCCUGCUCUCCCGUGGCUCCAAGGGAUCUCUGGCCCUUCACGCCGGCACCGAGAUUUUCUCGGGAAGGGCCUCAGAUCCCCGGUCCAGUCUGGGACACAGGCAAGAUCCCCCUGCCUUUAGAAAUGAGGCCUUCUUGUGGCUUCCUCCCCGUACCCGUCGGUGGGUUCCAAAGAAGGCCUCUGGAAAUGCCUUUUGGGCUGUCCAUUGAAGCCUUGGGACCAAAUUGGGCCCCUGGAGGGACAGUGCUGUUGGUGCCCCCCGGGUUGGGGCACCCCGAGGACUCCAGCGCGCACCGAAAGGAUUAUUUGGGGAGAUCCUCGGGGUGCCCGGCCCUGGGGAGCUCAAAGCAAGGUCCCUGCCAUGGAUUCAGGCAUUGCUGAGAGUAUCCCAGGGGUCCCUGUCCAUGCUAGACAUGGAGCUCUCUAAUGGGCUGGAAUUGGGUUCUAAAAGUGGUGCUCCAAGUGCCAAAGAAGUGUGGGAUUGGGAUUAAGAAAUGAGCAGUGAGGGUCCAAUUGGCUGUUUUCUCUGGAAUGUGACUGUGAGAGCUGCAGGAGUGCCAGGUGUGUGUUCCAGUCCCCAGCAUUUGGUUUGCACAUGUCCUGGUCAGACACAGGUCUAACUUGCUCAGUCCUUAACCCAAGAGAGGGAGAAUGAAGGACUGGCACUGUUCAGGUGAUUGGUGUGACAGGGGUUAAACUGGGAAAACAUUGGGUAAUUCUUGAGUUUGUCUGUUUGCCAAACUCACCCAAACCUGUGAUAGGAAGAGAUGGACUGGAGUCUCUGCUCCCCUGGGCAGUUGUCCUGCAUGAUCUGGGAGCCUCUGGGAUUAGACUGGACUGGGCAGACAGGGAGCAGUUUGUCCUGUGGAGUUGGGAUGGGUUAGUUCAGGAUGCCUUGGGAGGCAGGGCUGGAGAGGCUCCUCUGUUGGCUGUGGUGGUGGAAGGUUGUAGCAGCAGGGCUGGAGCCCUUCGCCCUCCUGCUCCCCCCGUGAGCCCCGCCGGGCCCGUGCCCUUGGCAAUGGAGGGCCCCCCAUUGCUGAGUCAGCGGUUCCGGGGCCAGGAGGGAUGGGAUCAGGAUGCCGAGCUCCACCCAGGGCCAGGGCUGCCAAUGUUCAACCAUGGAGAGAACUGAGAGCAGAGUGAGAUGGAGGCCAAGCUCCAGCACAGGGAUGGGUGAGAAAAGACCCUGGUCCUCAGGUGGAGCUUUGAAUUCCCUGGAAAAAUGGAUCCUGUCAGAUGGUUCAGGCCCUCGUGGGUGCUGGAGCAGAGGCCUCUGUGAUUUAUGGUCACCCUGAAAGGUUGCAAGGACAGCAAGUUCUGACUGCAGGAUGAGGUGGGAAACAAAGUGAAGUGGUCCAGAGACAAGCUGAGCUUAAAAUUGGUCCUGUGCCAGAGCAGCCUCGUGCAGUGCUUGUUGCUGUCCCUGAGUGUCCCACUGCAGUGGAUAUUUCCAAGGGUGCCUUGUGCUGGGGAACACUGGGGGCAGUUCCCUUUCCCUGGGCAGGGCAGGCAGGGCACGUUUCCCCCCUCGAGGGUGGCUCCACAGUCCCCCCCUGUGCCCUGGGAGCGUGGCAGAACACCUGGAGCCACUGUCCUUGUCAGAGAGGGCAAAGGGAUGGUUGGAUGGGUGAGGGAAUGGGUCAGGGAGUACAAGCACCAUUAGAGUGAGUAGUGCAGCACAUGGAAAGGAAGGGGGGAGUUAAUCCAGACAAAAUCCAAGCACCUGCCCAACCUGUGAUAUUUUUAGGAACUCAGUGGUGCUGUGGUGCCCAGGAUUAGGCAGGAGACUUCAGGCUUGGUCACCCCCAGAGCAAGUCUCCAGGGGCAGGCAGUGGGGAGGCAGCUCUGCUGUUGAGGAUGGGGUUAUUUUCUCUGCUUUAUUUUGUCUCCAGAGAUAUUCUGCCCAUUAAUCCAAACUGACUCUGUCUCCUAACUGUCUGAAGAGGUUUUCUGCUUUUUGUGGGAGGGUGAGGUUUGGAUUCUAACUAUAGAAGAGCCAACAAAAUAAAGGCUUCAUGGCAAAGAAAUGGUGUCUCCCAAACUCUUUGUACUUCAAAUAGAUGCCUUUAUUCUUAUUUUUUUCUUAUUGGUAUUCUCAAGGUGUUUAAUACCCUGUCUACAGUUAUUUAUUUUGGCUUCUCUUUUUUAUUUGUUACAAAGUUGAUGUGACUGACUUCUUUUUGCAAUCCAGCAGUGCUCUCAAGGGUAUUUCCCCCCCACUCCUGGGCUUGUGCAGGGCUGUUGAGUCCGUGUGUGCCGCUGUCAGCUUUGCUUCUCUGUUUGCUUGGUUGGCUCCUGUUAGGAGAAGGGACUGUCCUGGUGGGGAUAAUCCAGAACUGCAGCUUUGAUGUUUAAAAAGGAGCCUGUGGUACUUCUUGUUUCCUGUGCUGGGCUUUCCUUUAACAGUGCCCAGGGAGGGGAGCAGCAACAGCUUCACUUGGAAGUGGACUCUGGUUUUUGAGAACAUCCUAAGCUCAGUGUGGUUUUGGUAUCACUAAGUACUUAUUUUAUUUGCCAUUUGUCUUAAAUUGUAUACACCUUUGAAGUGCCAGCUGUGUUUUGAAGACAUUCUUACAGUUGUUUCAAGUGAAAUUUGGAAUGUUACAAAUUUAGAAAGAGAUGAUUUUUAUGUGAAUAAACUACUAAAACAAAGGGGGGAGUGAGGAAAGCCAAGUUCAGGAGAUAACCUUAUGAACUGGUUUGGGAAGUUGUUUACCUAAAUAGCCCAAAUUGGUUUGAGCUGCAGCACAAACAGGGGGGAGAAGGAGAGGUUUUGUAUUUUGACAGUUCUUGAAGUUUUUUGCAGGGACUACUGCCAGGUUCUCUUUGAAGUCCAAACCCCAUUAGCAUGGGGAAAUGUUUGUUUGGCUUUAGAAAUAGGAGUGUAUAUUUCCCUUUGAACUAGAGGAAUGUUUCUAUGUCUUUGAAUUUUAAAUUGCACAUGAAGCAGAAAUAUGUUUGUGUUUUACAGGUGAUACUGUCAUGAAAAUAGAAAUGCAUCAUUGGAUCUUACUCCUCUGAGGGCAAACCACCAGCCUGCUCAUUUCUGAGUCCCUCAAACCCAGUGCCAUGAGCUCAGAGGGGUGUUUGGGUGCAAAUGUGCUGAGUGGUGGUGGCCCCGUGAGAUGUGAGCAGCUGGAAAUGUGUGUGUGUGUGUGUGCAGAGCUGGGCUGGAGCCCUUGGGAUUUGGCUCCCAGAUCCCCCCCAGCCUUCAGGAAAACCAGAGGCCACCGAACCGUGAGGGAAGGGAGUCCCAUCUGCAGAAGGGUUUUUAGGUUGGGGAAAAGCUCCAGAACAAAGCCUGGGUUCCAAACACCUUCAGCAAAAGUCAAGGAGCACAGACCCUGAAGUCAUCAAGUUAUGAAGUUUGGUUCAAACCAUUUGCUUCUCAGUCAGUUUUACUGAAGUGUUAAAAGGAGAACUUAAAUAAGGUUAAUUUCUGAUGGAGAAUAGUGGGAAGAAGUGAAGUGGUUUAAGUUCAUUAAACAUGUUUUAUAUCAGUCCAUGGUUAUUUAAUUGAGCAUUGUUUGGAAUUUUUCUUUUUGCAUUUGUUCCUUGUGUGCUUUUCUCUAUCUAAGGGAUGGUUGGAGGUCUUUCUGAUUGGUUGGAUGUUUUUAAUGUCAGUGCUAGACUGGGGUGGACAGUCAUUGUAACAUGAUUUAGAGUUUGAUGCAUUUUA